UCUGGAAACUNUCUGACUUGAGUGCAGAAGGGGAGAGUGGAAUUCCAUGUGUAGCGGUGAAAUGCGUAGAUAUAUGGAGGANCACCAGUGGCGAAAGCGGCUCUCUGGUCUGUCACUGACGCUGUGGCUCGAAAGCGUGGGUAGCGAACAGGAUUAGAUACCCUGGUAGUCCACGCCGUAAACGAUGAGUGCUAGGUGUUAGGCCCUUUCCGGGGCUUAGUGCCGGAGCUAACGCAAUAAGCACUCCGCCUGGGGAGUACGACCGCAAGGUUGAAACUCAAAGGAAUUGACGGGGGCCCGCACAAGCGGUGGAGCAUGUGGUUUAAUUCGAAGCAACGCGAAGAACCUACCAGGUCUUGACAUCCCGAUGCUAUUCUUAGAGAUAGGAAGUUACUUCGGUACAUCGGAGACAGGUGGUGCAUGGUUGUCGUCAGCUCGUGUCGUGAGAUGUUGGGUUAAGUCCCGCAACGAGCGCAACCCUUAUUGUUAGUUGCCAUCAUUAAGUUGGGCACUCUAGCGAGACUGCCGGUAAUAAACCGGAGGAAGGUGGGGAUGACGUCAAAUCAUCAUGCCCCUUAUGACCUGGGCUACACACGUGCUACAAUGGUCGGUACAACGAGUUGCGAGCCGGUGACGGCAAGCUAAUCUCUGAAAGCCGAUCUCAGUUCGGAUUGGAGGCUGCAACUCGCCUCCAUGAAGUCGGAAUCGCUAGUAAUCGCGGAUCAGCACGCCGCGGUGAAUACGUUCCCGGGCCUUGUACACACCGCCCGUCACACCACGAGAGUUCGUAACACCCGAAGUCGGUGAGGUAACCUUUUAGGGGCCAGCCGC
This 831-nucleotide ribosomal RNA is filed under the name uncultured bacterium. RNAcentral's name for it is "bacterial SSU rRNA". It matches the Rfam family "Bacterial small subunit ribosomal RNA", at positions 625 to 1456 of the family's 1533-position model. The record is from RNAcentral.